RNAcentral lists this unclassified non-coding RNA (345 nucleotides) under soil metagenome. Its description in RNAcentral is "partial contains 5.8S ribosomal RNA, internal transcribed spacer 2, and large subunit ribosomal RNA". The stretch from base 1 to 119 matches the Rfam family "5.8S ribosomal RNA", at positions 35 to 154 of the family's 154-position model. The record is from RNAcentral.
GAUGAAGAACGCAGCGAAAUGCGAUACGUAAUGUGAAUUGCAAAUUCAGUGAAUCAUCGAGUCUUUGAACGCACAUUGCGCCCCCUGGUAUUCCGGGGGGCAUGCCUGUCCGAGCGUCAUUGCUGCCCUCAAGCACGGCUUGUGUGUUGGGCCCCGUCCUCCGAUCCCGGGGGACGGGCCCGAAAGGCAGCGGCGGCACCGCGUCCGGUCCUCGAGCGUAUGGGGCUUUGUCACCCGCUCUGUAGGCCCGGCCGGCGCUUGCCGAUCAACCCAAGUUUUUAUCCAGGUUGACCUCGGAUCAGGUAGGGAUACCCGCUGAACUUAAGCAUAUCAAUAAGCGGAGGA